RNAcentral lists this ribosomal RNA (326 nucleotides) under uncultured eukaryote. RNAcentral describes it as "partial 18S ribosomal RNA". It matches the Rfam family "Eukaryotic small subunit ribosomal RNA", at positions 1470 to 1796 of the family's 1831-position model. The record is from RNAcentral.
CCCUUAGAUGUCCUGGGCCGCACGCGCGCUACACUGAUGCAUGCAACGAGUUUAUAACCUUGGCCUGAAAGGUCUGGGUAAUCUUUUGAACGUGCAUCGUGAUAGGGAUAGAUUAUUGCAAUUGUUAAUCUUGAACGAGGAAUUCCUAGUAAACGCGAGUCAUCAGCUCGCAUUGAUUACGUCCCUGCCCUUUGUACACACCGCCCGUCGCACCUACCGAUUGAAUGUUUCGGUGAAGAUUCCGGAUAGGACUGAUUUGAUUUAUUUCAUUUCUGACCUAAAAGCUAUCUAAACCUCAACAUUUAGAGGAAGGUGAAGUCGUAACA